RNAcentral lists this ribosomal RNA (785 nucleotides) under Celeribacter sp. RNAcentral describes it as "bacterial SSU rRNA". It matches the Rfam family "Bacterial small subunit ribosomal RNA", at positions 83 to 905 of the family's 1533-position model. The record is from RNAcentral. Lineage: Bacteria; Pseudomonadati; Pseudomonadota; Alphaproteobacteria; Rhodobacterales; Roseobacteraceae.
UCUUCGGAUCUAGUGGCGGACGGGUUAGUAACGCGUGGGAACGUACCCUUCACUACGGAAUAGUCCCGGGAAACUGGGUUUAAUACCGUAUACGCCCUUCGGGGGAAAGAAUUUCGGUGAGGGAUCGGCCCGCGUUAGAUUAGUUAGUUGGUGGGGUAAUGGCCUACCAAGACUACGAUCUAUAGCUGGUUUGAGAGGAUGAUCAGCAACACUGGGACUGAGACACGGCCCAGACUCCUACGGGAGGCAGCAGUGGGGAAUCUUAGACAAUGGGGGCAACCCUGAUCUAGCGAUGCCGCGUGAGUGAUGAAGGCCUUAGGGUCGUAAAGCUCUUUCGCCUGUGAUGAUAAUGACAGUAGCAGGUAAAGAAACCCCGGCUAACUCCGUGCCAGCAGCCGCGGUAAUACGGAGGGGGUUAGCGUUGUUCGGAAUUACUGGGCGUAAAGCGCACGUAGGCGGAUUAGUCAGUCAGAGGUGAAAUCCCAGGGCUCAACCCUGGAACUGCCUUUGAUACUGCUAGUCUUGAGUUCGAGAGAGGUAAGUGGAAUUCCGAGUGUAGAGGUGAAAUUCGUAGAUAUUCGGAGGAACACCAGUGGCGAAGGCGGCUUACUGGCUCGAUACUGACGCUGAGGUGCGAAAGUGUGGGGAGCAAACAGGAUUAGAUACCCUGGUAGUCCACACCGUAAACGAUGAAUGCCAGUCGUCGGGUAGCAUGCUAUUCGGUGACACACCUAACGGAUUAAGCAUUCCGCCUGGGGAGUACGGUCGCAAGAUUAAAACUCAAA